Molecule: ribosomal RNA, 320 nt
Filed under: uncultured eukaryote
Lineage: Eukaryota
Description: partial 18S ribosomal RNA
Rfam family: Eukaryotic small subunit ribosomal RNA
Source: RNAcentral
CCCUUAGACGUUCUGGGCCGCACGCGCGCUACACUGACCAGUGCAACAAGCAUCCGUCCUUGGCCGACAGGCCCGGGCAAUCUUUGAACGCUGGUCGUGAUGGGGAUAGACUUUUGCAAUUUUUGGUCUUCAACGAGGAAUUCCUAGUAAACGCAAGUCAUCAACUUGCAUUGAUUACGUCCCUGCCCUUUGUACACACCGCCCGUCGCUCCUACCGAUUUCGAGUGGUCCGGUGAAUCUUUCGGACUGCGCGUGGCUUCGUGCCAUGUCGCGGAAAGUCAGGUAAACCUUAUCACUUAGAGGAAGGAGAAGUCGUAACA